This 243-nucleotide unclassified non-coding RNA is filed under the name Helotiales sp. Its description in RNAcentral is "partial contains 5.8S ribosomal RNA, internal transcribed spacer 2, and large subunit ribosomal RNA". The record is from RNAcentral. Lineage: Eukaryota; Fungi; Ascomycota; Leotiomycetes; Helotiales.
CGCACAUUGCGCCCGGUGGUAUUCCGCCGGGCAUGCCUGUUCGAGCGUCAUUUAAACCAAUCCAGCCUCGUGCUUGGGUCUUGGGCCUUUCGCCUUUGGGCGGGCCUCAAAAUCAGUGGCGGUGCCCUCUGGCUCUAAGCGUAGUAAUACUCCUCGCUAUGGAUGUCAGGUGGUGUCUUGCCAGCAACCCCUAAUUUUUUUAAGGUUGACCUCGGAUCAGGUAGGGAUACCCGCUGAACUUAA